RNAcentral lists this unclassified non-coding RNA (368 nucleotides) under soil metagenome. RNAcentral describes it as "partial contains 5.8S ribosomal RNA, internal transcribed spacer 2, and large subunit ribosomal RNA". The stretch from base 1 to 120 matches the Rfam family "5.8S ribosomal RNA", at positions 35 to 154 of the family's 154-position model. The record is from RNAcentral.
GAUGAAGAACGCAGCGAAAUGCGAUAAGUAAUGUGAAUUGCAGAAUUCAGUGAACCAUCGAAUCUUUGAACGCACAUUGCGCCCGGCAGUAAUCUGCCGGGCAUGCCUGUCCGAGCGUCAUUUCUGCCCUCGAGCGAGUCCAGCAUCUAGGUGCUGGGCCCGCCCGGCGUUGGGGCACUACGGGAAGCCCUGUGCUGUCCCCCGUAGGCCCCGAAAUGAAGUGGCGGUCCUGCCGCGGCUCCCCCUGCGUAGUAUAACAGCUCGCUUCGGGACCCGGUGGAGGCCUGCCGUCAAACCUUACUCUCUAAGUUUGACCUCGGAUCAGGUAGGGUUACCCGCUGAACUUAAGCAUAUCAAUAAGCGGAGGA